GAAAAGAAAGCAAAUGCGAUUUCCCAAGUAACGGCGAGUGAACAGGAACAAGCCUAGCGCUAAGGCUCAAUAGGAUGGCUGGCAGCAAUGUUGGUCGUCGUUUUCGACAAGCUAUUGAGCGGUGCAGCGUUACAAACCAGGAUGUUUAGUCGAUUCCAUUGGUAGUUUGAACCUCGGUUCUUGCUACCCUCAGCCUAGCAUGCAAGUUCCAUUGACUUGGACUAAUUGCAAAUGACCAGGAGCUUGGGGCAACUCGAGUUUCUGGUUGAGCCAAAGUGGGUGAAAGCCCUAUACCGUGCAGGCAUUGGGAUCACGAAUUCUGGAGGAAGCCGCAAGGCGACCAAUUUGUUAGAGUCGAGUUGCUUGAGAGUGCAACUUAAAGUGCGAGGUAAACUACUCGUAAGGCUACGCAAUACGGCUACGACACCGAUAGCAAACAAGUACCGUGAGGGAAAGUUGAAAUAGAACUUUGCAGAGAGAGUUAACAGGGCGUGAAACCGUUAAUUGGCAAACGAAUCGGAGCCACGAAGUCGUUUCGCUGUUGGGCCUGGGUUCAGCUGGAUAGCUAAAAACUACCCGGUGUACUCUCAGGCUAACCAACUUUGUAAGCGUACACUGCAACCAGUUAGACGAUUGGUGAUGGGCCCAGUUGGCGGGGGUUUCGGCUCCCAUCAAUGCAGCAUCUGUCUACUCGGGUCAGUAGUAACGUGACUGGCCUUGUGCUUGUUUGCGUUGCUGGGCUCGCGGUAGGUGAACUAUCACCAAAUACUGACUGGCAAAAUGAAAAUCGCCGAAAGGCGUUACAUAGAAAGCGGUGCCUGCACUUGGUGUCACAUGCUUGACCAUGUGGUUUUAAGCUCAGCAUUUUUGAAUUUGGACUUGCUUGCUACCAGUGGGGCAACUCCUGGUGCUUGUAUAGCUUCCAUCUAAUCGGGUGUUGACUUGAUCGCAUGUCGUUCGAGCAUGCUACGAUCGGCGCCAAGUGUAAGGUAACUCGCCAACUUAUGGCAGUGAGUAG
Molecule: ribosomal RNA, 1018 nt
Filed under: Rhinotergum schestovici
Lineage: Eukaryota; Metazoa; Arthropoda; Arachnida; Trombidiformes; Diptilomiopidae
Description: eukaryotic LSU rRNA
Rfam family: Eukaryotic large subunit ribosomal RNA
Source: RNAcentral